This 389-nucleotide ribosomal RNA is filed under the name uncultured euryarchaeote. RNAcentral describes it as "bacterial SSU rRNA". It matches the Rfam family "Archaeal small subunit ribosomal RNA", at positions 339 to 727 of the family's 1478-position model. The record is from RNAcentral. Lineage: Archaea; Methanobacteriati; Methanobacteriota.
UCGGGAACCUUUUGCAAUAUACGUAAGUGUGACAAAGCAAGUCGUAGUGCCAUUCUAUAUUUGAAUGGCUUUUGCAGGAUGCAAAAAGUCCUGCGAAUAAGGACUGGGCAAGACCGGUGCCAGCCGCCGCGGUAAUCCCGGCAGUCCAAGUCGCAACCACAUUUGUUGGGUCUAAAACAUCCGUAGCUCGCUUCGUAAGUCCUUGGUGAAAUUGGGCCUCUUAAGGGUCCAGCGUGCCUAGGCUACUGCGAAGCUAGAGACCGGGAGGCGUAAUGAGUAUGGAGAGGGUAGCGGUUAAAUGUGUUGAUCCUCUUUAGACUACCAGUCGCGAAGGCGCGUUACGAGAACGGUUCUGACAGUGAGGGAUGAAGGCUAGGGGCGCAAAGUGG